GAUGAACGCUGGCGGCGUGCCUAAUACAUGCAAGUCGAGCGAACAGACGAGGAGCUUGCUCCUCUGACGUUAGCGGCGGACGGGUGAGUAACACGUGGAUAACCUACCUAUAAGACUGGGAUAACUUCGGGAAACCGGAGCUAAUACCGGAUAAUAUAUUGAACCGCAUGGUUCAAUAGUGAAAGACGGUUUUGCUGUCACUUAUAGAUGGAUCCGCGCCGCAUUAGCUAGUUGGUAAGGUAACGGCUUACCAAGGCGACGAUGCGUAGCCGACCUGGGAGGGUGAUCGGCCACCCUGGAACGGAGACACGGUCCAGACUCCUACGGGAGGCAGCAGUAGGGAAUCUUCCGCAAUGGGCGAAAGCCUGACGGAGCAACGCCGCGUGAGUGAUGAAGGUCUUCGGAUCGUAAAACUCUGUUAUUAGGGAAGAACAAAUGUGUAAGUAACUAUGCACGUCUUGACGGUACCUAAUCAGAAAGCCACGGCUAACUACGUG
This 497-nucleotide ribosomal RNA is filed under the name uncultured bacterium. RNAcentral's name for it is "partial 16S ribosomal RNA". It matches the Rfam family "Bacterial small subunit ribosomal RNA", at positions 28 to 507 of the family's 1533-position model. The record is from RNAcentral.